CUACGGGUGGCAGCAGUGAGGAAUAUUGCACAAUGGGGGGAACCCUGAUGCAGCAACGCCGCGUGGAGGAUGACGCAUUUCGGUGUGUAAACUCCUUUUAUAUGUCAAGAAAAUGACGGUAGCAUAUGAAUAAGCACCGGCUAACUCCGUGCCAGCAGCCGCGGUAAUACGGAGGGUGCAAGCGUUACUCGGAAUCACUGGGCGUAAAGGACGCGUAGGCGGGUUGGAAAGUCAGGUGUGAAAUCCUACAGCUUAACUGUAGAACUGCACUUGAAACUUCUAAUCUAGAGUAUGGGAGGGGGAGAUGGAAUUCGUGGUGUAGGGGUAAAAUCCGUAGAUAUCACUAGGAAUACCUAAAGCGAAGGCGAUCUCCUGGAACAUUACUGACGCUAAGGUGUGAAAGCGUGGGGAGCAAACAGGAUUAGAUACCCGUGUAGUC
Molecule: ribosomal RNA, 439 nt
Filed under: uncultured bacterium
Lineage: Bacteria
Description: partial 16S ribosomal RNA
Rfam family: Bacterial small subunit ribosomal RNA
Source: RNAcentral